RNAcentral lists this long non-coding RNA (1048 nucleotides) under Fragaria vesca (wild strawberry). Its description in RNAcentral is "long non-coding RNA (FVES_LNC005190)". Lineage: Eukaryota; Viridiplantae; Streptophyta; Magnoliopsida; Rosales; Rosaceae. The record is from RNAcentral.
GCGUCUCGAUCAUUGAGUAAAUAGUUUAAUUGGUCCCUAGAGGGGUUUCGGGGACGAUUAUGUGCGGAGGAUUAUUAGUAUGAGGAAAAUACGACGACGGUAAAAAUGGUAAAUUUUAGCUAGUAAAAGGUAAUUUUUAUUCGGGUAUUAUUUUUUCGGGGUGUUUUUAUUUUUUGGAAGUGGGUUGAUAUAGGUUGGACCGGUGGAGGCCCAACCCAUUUUCUUUUUUCCUCCUCCCUUUCUCUUCUUCCCUCUUUUCUUUUCCUCUCCCCGAGCCUUCCGCUGCCCGGUUUUCCGGCUGUCCUCCCGCCGCCGUCCGACCUCCGUUCGCCGCCGGACCGGUCCCGUUCGGUCGGUCUCCCUCCCAGCAACAUUUCUAGACCGGUGAGAGGAGCCCUAGCUCCGCCGUGAGAGAGCAGUGCCACUCGAAAGCUCCGACUGCCGAAUCGGUUUUCUCGCCGGAACUUCCUCCUCCGGCCACCAAUCCGGGCAAGCUUGGUACGGUUUUGUAGCCCUCCUCCCGUGCAACAACCGCUCCAAACAGCUCCCUCCCUCUUGAGCUAGGUAAGGAGAAAUUUGAGGUGGAAGUUUUAUGGUGUUUAAGUUGUUUUCGUUCGAUUAGCCUAGUUAGGCUUGGAAUUGGGUGAUGUGUUAGUCAUGAAAGUUGUAGAGGAGAUUGAGAGGAAGAUUCUGUUAAAAUUUGGUAGCAUUUGUAGGUUGCCGGAAAACGGCUGCCGGCCGCCGCCGGUUAGGAGAUUUUUAGGGUUUUAAAUGUGGAAUAUUAAGAGGAGUAUAUUGGUGUGAUUUAUGGAAUUUUUGGAUGAGAUUUGGAUAGGUUUGUGAAUUUCCGAAGUUUGGUAUUUUUGGCGGUUAAUUAAUGUAGAAUCCGGCCGUAGGAUUUAAACCGUAUUUUGGGGAGGUUAUAUUUACGACUGUGGAGUAUGAUAUUUAAGUUCGGAUCGUUCCGAUGUAAGAAUAUCGAAGUUAGGCAAUAAUGAGCGUAAUUAUGGCUCUCGGGUAAUUUUGUCCUAUUUUGAUUAAAUAUUGG